This is a long non-coding RNA of Triticum aestivum (bread wheat), 430 nucleotides long. RefSeq lists it as uncharacterized. The record is from RefSeq and is a predicted model, not a curated record. Lineage: Eukaryota; Viridiplantae; Streptophyta; Magnoliopsida; Poales; Poaceae. The transcript has 3 exons.
CCCUGCAUGCAUGACCAAUUUGUAUGCCAUGCCUUUUGGCUUAUUUAUUGGUGUGAAUAAUCAUUUCCAGAGUUUGAUACUUGCUGGAACGCUUGUCCAUGAUGAAACUGCAGAGAAUGACGGGUGACUCUGCGUGCAAAAUAUACUUACAUACCAGAAACCGAGCUAUGGAACUGGCGAUCGAGAGCAUAAUGCCGGAUAUUACACACCGAGGAUGAUGCUGAGCCCACAAAUUUUCAUGGUAGCAACGAAGAUGGUUUCGAUACAUUGGUGACAAAUGACAUCGUCUCGGCGAGGCCAAGCAAGGUGGAAGAGCCACGGGUAGCUAUGACAUGAAGUGCAGCAAGCGGUUCAGAUGAUAUGGAACUGACAUAGCUCAAGGAGCAGACGAUAUCAGCAGUAGGCCAUGCGGGAGAACUGAGCGUCGCAG